Dermacentor albipictus is the source of this 679-nucleotide non-coding RNA. The record is from RefSeq and is a predicted model, not a curated record. NCBI's taxonomy places the organism in Eukaryota, Metazoa, Arthropoda, Arachnida, Ixodida, Ixodidae.
UGAAGGGCCAGUUGGCCAGGUGGCCAGGUGUUAGCCCCACUGAUGAACAUAGCUCUUGGGUGGCCCUGUGGCAGCCAGCAUUAUAUCUUAAAACUGCCUCAUGCAGUGCCGUUUCCACAGCAAUCAACCACGCAUGCUAUUCUUUGGGCAUCAGGGACCACAGCACGGAAUGAAAUGAUCCUGAUCCAUUCCGCGUCUUUGCUCCCAGGCAGCGUUGCAGAAGAGAAGCCCGUGAGAGGCGCUCAUACACAGGUAGCAGUGCUUCUGCAACAUAGCGUGGAAGAUUGUACCGAUGCUUCGGAGGUGGCACACCAUCACUCUUGCUGGCGUUACGACGACACUACGAGUCUGCACCCUCAGGGCACAAGUCAUGGUGCCUCAACUUAAGUAUAUUGCUACUACUUGGGGAUGCCUACAGUGAUAAAACGGACAUGUAUCAGCACACAAGCAGUUCUAAGUACAGCAGGUUUCUCUGACAGCAGUGUUGGCAACCGCUCCUCAGAGAAUGACGUCAUGCCUGACACGGGUGCUCGUGGAGACCAAUCAGAAAGAGCUGCCCUCCUCCCCUCCGUUACUUCUCCCACUUCACUCUCAUGCAAGAUACCAGGCACCAAUCCAGAAAACUGUCUGAUUGGCUAAUGAAAGCUACUCGCUUUAAAAUCAAGCUCCUCGGUUCCAC